Molecule: microRNA precursor, 68 nt
Filed under: Schmidtea mediterranea
Lineage: Eukaryota; Metazoa; Platyhelminthes; Tricladida; Dugesiidae
Description: Sme-Mir-96-P1j_pre stem-loop
Source: RNAcentral
UUUGGCACUUAAGGAAUUGUCACUAGUGUUCUUUUUAAAGUUCGGUGACAAUACUAAAGAGUCAAGCG